GUUAGAUAGCAUCUGAAACCUAGGACAUGGCUUCAGAUGUAAGCCAUCCCCUCUGAGGCUCCCGGCCAUAUCUUUGGUAUGUCCGCUUUGAUUCUGCAUGGCUAACAGGGACUUAAUGCUGCCUUGACUGCUGCUGUGGAACUCGGUCUGGUACUCAAGGUGUCCAAGGAGGCCAGAAGAGAGCACCAGAUCCCCUGGAACUGCCACUGUAAACGAUGCUGCGCGGCCAUAUGGGUGCUGGAAAUCGGACCUCUGCAAGAGCAGCAAUGCUCUUCAACAACGAGCCACCACCCAGCCCCGGAGGAUGUGAUCUUAGAACCCAACAUCCCGAGAAAUAGGGAGACGGCUGUGGAGAAGGCUCAGUGGGUAAAAUGCCUUCCUUCCAGGUUCAUGGCCCAGAGAACACACUCAACUGUACAUGAACGAGCUGUGACCAGAAAGCUCUGGAGGAACAGAAGCCCCAGUGCCGACGAUGAUGCACGAGAGUUAUAGGUGGGCAGGUCCAGCCAUCGGGGCUUCUCUGGUCCUCACCCUGAAGUCUCCAGUGUGGGAAUGAGAAGAUGGUGCAGUCAGGACAUCUGGGGCUCCUUCUCGGUCCUGCCCUUCAUGAACUGCAGGUGACACUGGGUGGCAUCAUCUCUCUCACCUCUGUGGAAAUGUUAUAUGAAUCGUCAGUAAUGAACCCUGGUACAGUGUGACCGGCUGCCCAAGCUCCUGCCUCUAGGCUUUCCCUGCUGUGAUGGAACGGCACUCUCAGCCUGUGAGCCAAAAUGGACCCUUCCUCCUGAUAAGCUGCUUUUUCUCGGGCGUUUUGUCAUGGCAAGGAGCAAGUGACUGAUGCUAUCGUCGUGUGCUGCCUUGCCUGCAAUUUUGUGUUAUUUUUUGCUGGGCUCCUAUACUCUUACAAAUACCUCUUGGCUUGUGUUUUUCAAGAAACGUAGUCCCCUUGGCAGUGUCUAAAGGCUGUAUUAGCUUGGAAGUCUGUUCCCAAGGACAGAGGCCCUGGGAAUAAAGUGCUUCUGGUUCUGCGCGAAGCUCUCUCCGCUCUCGGUGUCCUUUGGGAGCCGUUUCAACCGUGAUGGGGCAGCGAGCCUUUGAUGGAGCGGUUGGAUCUGCCCAGCUGUGACACAUGCUAAGUCCCGUUCCUAUCCCUGCAAAUCUAAUUUUGCUGCUCCAAAUCUCUACUCCAAAUAUUGAACCGGAAGAGGGAAUUAAAUUCUCUCAAGUUCAAAUGUACUUUGCUGUCACUUGAGGAGAAUGGGUUUGUCCCUAGAAUCUCCGUGAUGUUUCCUCACAGGCUACUUAGGUUGUAGGUUUUCCUGAAGACAGCGAACAUUUGCUCAAAUGAAACUGUGAUAAAAAUGACCUCUGGGGGUUGGGGAUUUAGCUCAGUGGUAGAGCGCUUGCCUAGCAAGCGCAAGACCCUGGGUUCAGUCCCCAACUCCGAAAAAAAUAAAAAAAAAAUGACCUCUGUUUGCAGACCCUAAGCAGGUGGGGUGGAAACUUGCUCAAAUCCCAGACCUGCCAUGAGAGCAGACUUCCAUUCUUCUGCUUCUCCUCACGUUCAAGCAGGAACAGACUGUCCUUGGCAACUGUGCCACCUGGUUCUCCUCACAUGGCUCUCUGGAGCGUCGGCCUAUCCACCAAGCCCAGAAGUUUAGCCACAUGCUUAAGGUCACCCAGCAGGCUAUCUUGGAAAGUGGAACUUGAACCCAGGACCAGGUGAGCCUUCCAGACUUCUGGGCACUUGGGCACCUUGCUGAGAGCCCACAGUGAGGCCGAGUACCAGGCUUGCUGACAGGUGUGUGCGGGAAGUCGAUGCGUCCACGCAAAGUAGGUGACAAGGGAUGGGGCUGUUCUCUGCUGCAUCCACACUGCUGAGACCACUCUCUCCCUCCAAGCUGCAGCGGCUCCCUAUUGCCUUCUGGGCAAGGUCUCUCCCCCUGAACUAUUCCUUGUAGAAAUGUUUCCUCUUACAUCUCUGCGGGGUCCACAAGGGAUUUGUUAAAGGGCUUUGCUGGGCACAGCAUCGGCAAUACCUCAGCUCCUCCACCUUCCUUUGUACCACAGGAUACAAAGAGGCGUGGUUUAGCGCUAAAAAUGCACUGGGGCCCACGAGCUUGUCUCAGAGGUCAGAGGUCACUGCCAGCCUAGGCUGAUUAGGAAGCAGCCAGGUUAGCGGGACACAUUAGCAGGAUGUCAUGAGAUGUUCGCUAAUAAUUAUAACCAAGUAAAAGAAAGGACCGGGCUGGGGAGAUGGCUCUGCAGGUAAAGUGCCUGAUCUGGGUUUGAUCCCCAGAAUCCAAAGUCAAAAGCAUCUCCUAUGGACAAGACAGAGACACACAUGCACACACAGAAAGACAGACACAAACACACAGACACACAUACAGAUAGACACACAGACACACGCACAGACAGAUGCACACACACACACACACAGACAGAGAGAAAGGGAGACAGAGAGACAGAGAGACACACAUGCACACACAGAAAGACAGACACAAACACAUAAACACACAUACAGAUAGACACACAGACACACGCACAGACAGAUGCACACACACACACAUACAGACAGAGAGAAAGGGAGACAGAGAGACAGAGACAGAGACACACAUGCACACACAGAAAGACAGACACAAACACACAGACACACAGAUAGACACACAGACACAUACAUAGACAAACACAACUGCAGACAUACACACAGAAAGACAGACACAAACACACACACAGACGAACACACACACACACACACACACACACACACACACACACAGAGCUCCAUGCUCCCAGGGAGUGGCAAGCCCCUACCUGAUCCCUUUAAACAACAUAGAGGAGAGAGGCACAUCUGCUUCCUUAGCACACAGACCCAAGGCAGCCGGAGCAGAGAAAAUAUCAUUAGGGGCAGAAGAUCCAUGCUUAUUCAACUACCUGCCCUGCUUGGCCACAGGUAAUUGAAGUCGGAGGAGAAUCGUUGAAAAGUGUAUUAUGUUGUCCUGUAGCCUGGGGCCUGGGGCCUGCUAUGACCAUUAUACUCAAGUAUGCGGUUCUGUGGUUUCAGAGACCAUCUGUCAGCAUCUGUAUGCACAUUGAUCCCAUGAGCCUUUGCAGGUGACUUGCUGUGCUUGGUCUAUCACCAGGUAACCAUGGUGAUAUCUUUAAUCCAUGGUCUCAGCAACACAAGGGCUCUUCACCCCUGAUCACCUUUUUGUUUUGUUCUCCUGGCCCAGAACUUACCCAUGUAGCCGAGGCUGGUUUUGAACUCCUGAUCGUCCUGCCUUUACCUCCCAGGUUUUUAUAUAGACUACCAUCCCUGGCUCUUUGCUUUUGUUUGUUUGUUGGUUUUAUUGUUUUUUUCCCCCCAAGACAAUGUUUCUCUGUUGUAGCUCUGGCUAUACUAGAACUAGCUGUGUAGACCAGGUUGGCCUCGAACUCACAGAGACCUGCCUGCCUCUGUUUCCUCAGGGCUGGGAUUAAAGGUGUGCACCACUACCCCUGCAUAGUCCUUUGCUUUUGUCAUUAGACUCUCGGGGCCAGCCAGUUGGUUUGCUGAGUAAAGGGAUCUGCUUUGGAGACCUGGGUUCGAUACCCCAGACUGACAUGGUGGAAGGCGGUAACUGACUCCACACACACAUGCACUGUGGUACACAGGUGCCCCGCCAACACCGUACACACAGCACACACAUAUUACAUAAAUAAAAAAUUAAAACGAAGCCUAAGUAUAAAGUGGCUUUUGCAUCUGCUUGUGGUAGAUUUCCGUUGCUGUGAUAAAAUACCUGAGAUUAGAAGGUUAUAAAGGAAGAAGGUUCAGCCGGGGGUUACUUUACUUCAUUGCUUUGGGGCCAGAGAGAAGGUAGGAAACACGUAGUUGGACAAAGCUGCUUUCCUCAUAGAGAGGAAGCAAAGAGGAAGCUGGGGCAGGCCCCCCAGUAGCUCCUUCAAGGAUACUCCUCAGGACCUACUUCUUCCAGCUACGCCCCACCUCCUGAAGCGCCCUCUGGCCAUGGUCGUGCCACCAGUUGGCGAACAAAGCUUCAAUGGGUGAACAUCUCCCAUCCCAAUCAUGUCUUUGCUUCAAAGUAAUAUUGUGUUUUCUAGAACGGUGUUUGGAACCAGAAGGACGGAGAUGGAGAUUCAAAUUUAGUCACUUACUUGUUUCCUUGUCAAGUGGGUGAUUUGGGGGCAAACUCAUUUAAGAUUUCAGAAUUUGGGGUUCCUUACUUACAAAGGGGGGUGGUGGAGCCCCAAUCCUCCUUAACGAAGGCGACAUAGGCAUCCGUGUGGCCCUCCAUGCUGGGCACCUAGGAGAACAUGCAAGCAUUGCUUCAUACACCACAGUGGCCCUGUGAGGAUGGACUCUUCUCUCCGGCUUGUGUGUGCAGUGUGCGUGCGUGCGCAUGGAGACCAGAGCCUGAUGUCCUGUGUCUUCUUUGACCACCCCACAUCUCCGGUGGCACUUAGGUGCCAACAUCUUCAGGCUCUUCUCCCACCCUUGUAUCCUCCUGGUGAGGUGGUAGGGACCCCAUGGCCAGGUCCCCAGUGCUGGCGUUUGGCUUCCUGAGUUCCCAGGUCACAUUGUUAUUCUGAUUGGCUCAGUGUGAAGGAAUCUGCUUUGGUGUGCAUCUCAGAUUUGCCUUAUUAACAUAUCAUCCAUAGUUUCACCGUACUUGUAUACAAACCAGACUAUGGUUAACUUAAUAUUUUGUUAACAUAAAGCUGUAUACCUUUAGUUAUAUGUCACUAUGGUAAACCGAGAGCUGACAUCUUGUUCUAUAAGUAAGCUUAACUAGGAAAGCACUGGAGGCAUUAUUAGAUGGUGGUAGCCCAGGACCCACCCCUUUCUAAAUGGGGGUGUACAGGAGCAGAGGUGAGCUCCCCCACAGCCUUCCCCUCAUCUUUAAGGGUAACUCCCUCAGAGCUGGCCUGGGUCUAGUGAAUGCAUCUGGACUGCAGCUGGACUCCUGGAGAACUGCUUCAUGGGAAUGAGGAGAGUGAGAGGACCCACACUGGCCACCUCACCUCCGCAUUCGGCUCUUCUCAUAGGCUGUACGAACAGGGCAAAGGUCAUGCUUAGAGCAGCGGUUCUUUUUUUUUUUAUUUUAUGUAUGAGUACACUGUCACUCUCUUCAGACACACUUAUUCAGAAGAGGGCACCAGAUCUCAUCACAGAUGGUUGUGAGCCACCAUGUGGUUACUGGGAAUUGAACUCAGGACCUCUGGAAGAGCAAUCAGAGCUCUUAACCGCUAAGCCAUCUCUCCAGCCCUAGAGCAGCGGUUCUUAACCUGUGGGUCGGGACCACCUCAGAGGUCAAAAAACCCUUUCACAGGGUCCCCUGAGACCAUCCGAAAACACAGAUAUUUGUAGUACAGUUUAUAACAGUUAUGAAGUAGCAAUGAAAAUAAUUUUAUGGUUGGGAGUCCCCACAACACAAGUGUAGGAGAAACAGCAACGGCCACCUCUACACUGCAAAGGCAUCUCCUGCUGGAGGACCUAAUUGAGGACUGCCUGAGAGACCAAGGGUUACUGAUGCAGACAGUGUCAGCCAAUCGAGAACUGCUGUUUCGAAGAGAUGCUCUCUAGGGACCAAAGGGGCCCGGGCGAUGGUAUUAAAGGAGAUUGCAGCAGUGCUUGGGUGAGCUUGCCGCUGCUCACCUGCUGUUUCUCACCUGCUCUGAGUCUGUGGUACCUCACCUCUAACCCUCAAGGACAGAUAGUAUCACACAGUGAGUAGUCCAGGGCACGGGAAGCACACGAGGAACUGUAUUAAAGGGUUAUAGCAUAAGGAAGCACUAGGAAGGUUGAAAACCACAGGUUUAGAGAGAGAACAUCUCAGGGCUUUGCAGUGAGGGACCUUUUAGGGAGACAUAGAAAGUGUUAGCCAUGAAUAAAAUACCUGUGAACGGGACUACACACAUGCACACACACAAAGAUGUACCCAGACAUGUACACAUGCAUGGACACAGGUACAUACAUACGCAUGCACACAGGCGUACACACAUGCACACACAGUAUACACAUAUACACAUUUACAGAUACAUGUACACACAUACACACGUGUACACAGAGAGAUGUACCCAGACAUGUAUACAUGCAUGGACACAGGUACAUACAUACGCAUGCACACAGGUGUACACACAUGCAGACACACUGGUUUACAUAUACACAUGUAUACACACAUACACACAUGUACACACUUCAGGUCCACUAAAAUGAUUGACUAAACAGACUGACAAUUCUCAGUAUUAGUUAGGAUGUGAAAUAUUGCGGACUCUCACGUGCUGCUUUGAGGGUCAUAAAUUCAAACACUUUAAGAAACAGUCCUCUCUUCAAGAUCCCCGCCCCCUCUAUCUCUAUAUAUCUCCUGGUCCAGUGUUUUCUUUCCUUAGGCAUCUUCAACAAAAUUACACAUGUCUGUGCACCAAAGACACAAACUAACUCAACAAGCUCAAAGUACACUUUAUCCAUGAUCAGCAACAGUUUCCAUUUUGAAUGAGUUUAUUGAGAGGGAGCAAGAAAGAGAGGGAGAGGGAGAGGGAGAGACAGAGACCAGGGAGGGGGCAUCGCCAAAUCACAUGCCCAAAUCAUUCAUCAGGAAAUAAGCCCCUUUAAGGCAGCAGCUGGGAGAAGCAGAAGCCCAGAGAGUCUCCACAGGUGAGGCAUCAAAGUAAAAGAACAAACAGCAAGAGAGAGAGAGAGAGAGGGAGAGAGAGAGAGAGAGAGAGAGAGAGAGAGAGAGAGAGAGAGAGAGAGAGAGAGAGAGAACUCCAAGACAUCUGCCAGAAACCAACUGGGGCGAUUGAGGCACCAGCUGGAGUCCCUGACUGAGCCUUCUCUCCACGACAGAGCCGGCAGCUUCUCCUUCCCACUGCGGGUCAUAGAAUAGACACUGGUGACUGCUGCCAGGGCUGGAGACCUGCCAGCUUCUCUCAAGGGCACCGGGGUCUCUUGGGCUGUUUUAUUGUUCUCGUUGCCUGCUGUUAUGGAGUUGGGGGCAGCCCAUCCCCAGACAAAGGCCUCUGCUGCAGGAAGGACACUGUGAGACAACACACUGGGGUCUGAAAUCAGCCCCCCUUCCAGAGAAGUUUCCGAGAGCUCAAAGAGUCCCUAGGAGUUUAUGUCUAAGGAGGAUGAAGUCAGUUCCAACCCCCACAAUGAGACAGACCACAAAUACCUGGUGAGCAGAGGGAGGCGUAGAGGAGCCUUGCAAGUCAACGCAAAACCAGCUAAUACGAAUAUAAACAUAAAGCCAUUACUAUGAAGGUUAAAAUUGGCAAGGUCAUGUAGUCACAGAUAUCAAUAACAGGCUGUCCUUGGGAAGGAUGGCGGAGGGAGGAAGGCCCGGUGUAGCAGUGCUUUUGGACCCUUUCUUUCCUUUCUGCAUUUUAUUUAUUGAUUUUUUUAACUUAUGAUGCAGACUGCCCUUGGACAUGGAGGUGGUUGAAAACAGCCUUGAGCUCCUGGUCUUGCCUCAGCCUCCCAAGGGCUGGGAUUGUUGCUUGUGAUCCGGGUUUGGCUGUUCAGGUGAACUCACCCUGUGAUGACCUGUGUGGGGUCUGUGACUUUCCCACUUGCCCGUGUGUGUGAUGCUUCAGUGAAAUACGUCGCCUGGAAAGGAUAAAUGUUGGAAAAAUAAGCUUGCUCGAGCCGGUUCUCCUGGACCAAGGAUUGUGCCGGGAAACUGAGUGAGUUGAUGAGGAGCCCUGACAUAGACUGCACAUAUGUGUGUGUGUGUGUGUGUGUGUGUGUGUGUGUGUUUAUGCUCAAGAGCAUAGGUAUGUGUUUGUGUUUAUGGAUAUGUGUUUAUGUGUGUACAUCAGUGGGUGUAUGUUUGUGUGUAUUGUGUAUAUGUGUGUGUGAGUAUGUAUGUAUGGUGUGUGUAUGUGUGUGUAUGUGUAUAUAUAUGUGUGUAUGGUAUGUGUGGUAUGUGUGUGCAUGUAUGUGUGUAUAUAUGUGUGUGAGUAUGUAUAUAUGUGUGGUGUGUGUAGUAUGUAUCUGUGUGAUGUGUGUGUAUGUGUGUACAUAUGUGUGCAUGGUGUGUGUAUAUGUAUGGUGUGUGUGUGCAUGUGUGUAUAUGUGUGUGAGCAUGUAUGUGUAUGUGAUAUGUGUGUAUAUGUGUAUGUGGUAUAUGCAUGUGCUUGUGUGUGUAAGAUGGCCUCCGGGAAGCUUUUCCUUUCUGGUCACAUUGCAUGUUCUGGAGACAGUUUCUGGCUUAACCUCCAUAUGUUAAAUUAUCGUGUGCCACUGCAGGGUACUCUCAGGGAUCCUUCUGUGGAAGUGUUCUUCCUCCCUUCUCAGUCAGCUGGCUCCCCAGAUCCCUGACCACCCUCCUCACUCCUCAGGUUGUGUGUGGUGCCCUCUCCAGACCCAGCUGAGUGGCUCCUGUGAAAAGAUCUCACAAAGCCCCUGGGUCAGUUGACCUCCUUAGGGUCGCACACCCAUCGAGGCCAAGCUGCAGCUGGGCAAGCAGGGCACUUGAGUUGGACCUACAUGUGCUACCCAGCGCCUGCCUGUUACACAGGACGGGCUGAGCAUGUCAUGUGACAGAAAGGUCAGGGUGGGGAUGGAGGGUGACCUCGGUGCCUGCUGGCUUAUGAUCCAACCUCACUUCCCACACCUACAUGGUUUUAUCCUCCUAGUUGCCACCUCCCUCCCCUUAGCAACAAAGUAUAGGCAUUCGCGUCUCUCUCUGCAUUGUGCUGCACAAGGCUCCCUGGUCACUCAAAGCUGCCGCAGACUGAACACGGCUGGAGCUGGCCCACUGAAUUUGCUAUGCAGUCUGGUUGUUCCCCGACUUUCUCUCUCCAGACUCUUCAAUGGCCAUUCAUUCGUCUUUAGAGCUGACCCACUGGGCUUAAAAUAUCUUAACAAAGUUGGGUGCGGUGGUGCACACCUUUAAUCCCAGCACUUGGGAGGCAGAGGCAGGUGGAUCUCUGUGAGUUUGAGGCUAGCCCCAUUUACAUAGCAAGUGUCAGGACAGCCAAGACUACAUAGAGAGACCUUAUUUAAUAUAUAUUUAAUGUAUAAAAUAUAUUAUAAUAGGGGUUGGGGAUUUAGCUCAGUGGUAGAGCGCUUGCCUAGCAAGCGCAAGGCCCUGGGUUCGGUCCCCAGCUCCGAAAAAAAGAAAAAAGAAAAAAAUUAUUAUAAUAAAAUAAUGAAUUAUUGAAUAAUAUUAAAUAUAAUAAAUUAUGAUUACAUAUAACAUUAAUUAUUUUAUUAAUUAUGUAAAUUAUAUAUCCAUAUCCUCAACAAGGGCCAAGGAGAUGAUUGUCUUCAAGACCCAAGUUCAAUCCCCAGGACCCACAUGGUAGGACAGAACCAACCUCUUACCUCCAUAUGUGUAAUGUGGCUCACACUCAUACAGACGUACACACAUGCAUACAUGCAGUCACAUGCAAGCAUGCACACACACAUAUACACAUGCAUAUACAUGCACUCACAUGCAAGUGAAUGUGCACACUCAUAUAUAUGCACAUACAUGCACAUGUGCACACUCACACACACACACACACACGAGCGCUAAAUAAAUAAAUGUGUAAUAAGAGAAAAGUUUAGAUCCUUACAGUUUACUCUCUUUUUUUCUGGAAGACUGAGGUAAAAUUUACAGAGUGCAAUGCUAACUGUCAUGGCUUGAAAGUCGAGUGUCACCACAAGCCCUUGUGUGUGAGGACCUGUCUGCAGCUGGUGGUGCCGUUGCGGGAAGUUGUGCCGUCUUCUGAACGUGGGCUACAGCUGCUUGCCUUAGGUUAGGGGACGAGGGGAGGCGGGACUUGCGGGUUCUAGGGCUCUUUUCUUUCAGUGCUCAAUGGGAUUCCUUCUGAUUCCGCCAUGUCUCUACCGUGAUGGACAGUAUCUCCUGAACCAUGGGCCUAACUAAGCCUCUUUCCCCCCAGGACCUUCUGUGGUAUUUGGCCACUAACUCGGUCUUAGUUAAAUGUCAUUGGCUGGAUUCAAUUCGCCUCAUUGUGCUUUUAUCUAUUUCUAAGCCAUCAUUAUUUCCUAAAUGGAGCCUCUGCCCACCAUACAGUCCCUCCUAGUUCCUGCCUCUUCUUGGCUGCUGGCAGGCACAGAACACCCCUGCCCACCCAGGCCUCCGUCUCUUCUUACAUAUUCUGGACAUGUCAUAAAAACAGAAUCGUACAGUGUGUGGCCUGGGUCCAGAUGCUUGCGUGUGACACUGCUUUCAUCGGUGAUUCGUAUGGGGCUGUCGCGUGUACCAAUAUUUUAUUCCUUUUUAAGGCUGAAUAAUGUUCCAUCGUGCGGCUAUAGAACAUUUUGUUUCACCGGUGGGUAGAAACUGAGGGCAUCCGAGCCUCUUAGGUACCCGGGUAAAGCCUCUGCACCCACAUUCUUUCUCUGGAACAUUUGUUGAUUUGUGGGUGUAUGAGUAUGGGGCAUAUGUGCCACAGCUCAUGCAUGGAGGUCUGAGAACAGCUUGUAGCAGUCAGUUCCCUCCUACUGCCAUGUGGGUCCUGGGGACGGAGCCCAGGUCGUCAGGCUUGGUGACAAGUGCCUCCACCUGCCUCGCAGUCCCUGUCUCUCCACAUUCCCCCGACCACAUGCUUUCCACGAGGUUGUUUUACAUUCUUAUUUGCCAGCUGGCCUCUGCUGAUGGAUCUGGAAAGCUCCAGAACACAGCUCUGAUGACGUAGGCAGGGUAUUUUCUGGGGCUUCAGGCCCACUCUGCAGGAGGACCUUGUGGACAGCUAUUGAAGCCACAGCUGAUGCCACUGCCCAGGCUCUCUGUGAAGCUGGAUUUGGUGAGGGUGAUCUGGGGGUGGGUUGCCUCUCCAGACAUGGUCCUCACAACCUGUAUCCAUUCUUCUUCUGCCACCGGGAUGGGAGACUCUCUGGGAGGAUGGGAGCUGGAUUUCCACACCUGACCCCUGGCGCCCCCAACAGUAGAAGGAGAAGCAAGGUGAGGACAGACGCUUUUGACAGUGACUGUACCCUGGUGACAAGUGACAGGAGGCAGGCAGGCUUGGGCAAGAACAGCUGACACCCACAGAAGCAGCUUCCACUCGGGCAACACCAAUUUCAGCCCAGGUACCCCAGACUGGAACACCCGGAGCGGUGUCCAUGGAACAAGUGCCAGUUAGGGUGUACAGGGAACUCCUCCAAGGACCUGGUUUGGGGACAAGUCAGAGAGGCUAAUUUGCAACCCAGUCUGUUCUGAGUUCUGAUGGGUGAGUUAAUUCACCAGCUCCUAGCUGAGACGUGGAGAAGGCGGGUGGUGCUGGCCCCUUGUUUACCCAGGUCAGUUCAAACAGUCCACGGUUUGACCUCCAGACCUCCCGCCAGUGUGAAAUCAAUCCUUCCACAGUCUCUGUUCCUCUGAGGAAACAGGGGCUGGCCAGCACCUGAUCUCCCUCCAGCAGGUCAGAGGCCAAUCUCCUGGGCCCGGGAGCUAAGAUGAGCUAAGGUGUGUAACACACUCUGCUCCAUGGUGCCGAGCAUCUGCCCAGGUGUGAGGCCCGCCAUCUCCCCCGACAAGGAGCCAGAUUUACAGAGAUGAGUCUGACCUCAGGGCCAGACCUUGACCCUUGGUCUCAAGUCUUAGACCUUUGCAUCAGCGCAUGAACUGAUGGCCCUGGGGGUCCAGGGACUCAUCUAAGAAACAGAAGCUCAUUAGGCUGUGAGGCAGAUGCAUCCAUGAUAAUUCAGAACAUGCAAUCUUGCCAAGGAGAAGAAAAUAAAACCCGCAAGCGUUCUCACCGCCUGGGGACCGCCAAGGCUGCCGCGUGUAUUUUCAGCCUUCGGGGGAAACUUUAGAAGCUAACAUUGGAGGUGCCCUGCUGGCUCCCAGCCACAAUCUGGGGCUUCUGCCGGGUUUCCUACUGCACAGAAGUGGGCUUCUGAGCCUACGGUUCUCUGUCACGGGGCUGCCCUGCACACCGAAAGAUGCUUGAAGCUUUCCUGGUCCUCUCAUGGUCCCCGCUUGAUCCCUGUAGUACCCUUGAAGCCAGGACCAUGGAAACCAUCUCUAGAUAUUUCCGGGUACCAGCUGGCCCUGGAUGAGCAUCUGUGAGUUUGGGGGUGAAGGUGCUGGGAUCAGCCAGACUUGACUUUCCAUCUCUGCUUAGAUAAGGAGCCGUGCCAGUGACCUCUGACCCUACUCUGGAAAAGGCAGCACUGGAGAGGAGGAAACCUAGAGCACCCCGGGGGACUGUGUUUGCUGUAGGGAGCCACAGCAGCCUUGGUGAGGCCCAACUUCCCCCAGACAUUAAGAAGUACAGUGAGCCCUCCUGUGUCUUUGGGAAGACCUCUGACAGAAUGCUCUGUGCUGCUUGUCUCAGGGAGGUAACAGGAGCUGGGACAAAGGGCAGCUUUGGGGGUAGCCAGCUUCAGUAAAUGGCCUUUCUAGGCCUCCAUUUCUUUGUCUAUAAACAGAAGCAAUGGCGGUAUCUUCUUGUCGAGGCCUCCAGAAAGGAGGUGAUUUUACCUACCAAUGGCUAUAUGAAUAUGAUGUGAGGCCAGUGCGGGCUUGCAGGGGCAUGAUGGACACAGCGAGAGCAGCCUCUGAGGCUGCUGAAACUCCAGCAGCCUGCAGACCAAGAGAAUGUGGUUAGCUUCAUGCCUGCCUCCCACAGUUCCUGGACACAGCUGCUGUCCCCUGCGGCAUCGAGCUUGUGAAUGACACCUGACUUCGGAGAUCUGGGAUGAUGGUGUCCACUCCCUGAGACAUUUCAGUCUAAAAAUACCCAUUGUGUCCUGAGGGCUCCGGAGAGUUCACUUCAAGUUCUUGCUGUUCGUAACUGUUGCAAUAUUCGUAACUUAUUAAUAUGGAAACAAUAUUAAUAUAUGUGAUAAUAUUCCUACCUCCUGCAACUCCCCUUCCCUGCUGCUGGUUUGUUUUCUGCUUCUAUGAACGUGACCUCAGACAAGUAGGAUCUUAAACUGGGCGUGUCGCAGUGCAUGCCUUUAAUCCCAGGACUUGGAAGGCAGAGGCAGAGUUCCGGGCCAGCCUGGUCUACGUAGUGAGUUCUAGGACAGCAAGGACUAUGGAUAGAGACCCUGCCUCAAAAUACCAAACCAAGCAAACAAACGAACAACAAACAGAACCCCAACCUAAUGAACAGAACCAUGACAUGUUCUUCCUUUUGCCUCUGAAUUAUUCUUGGUGUCAUGUUCUUGAAGCUCAUCCGUGGUCCAGCACACAGGAGCAUUUCCCGAGUUUCUGAGAUCUAAUGAUGCUCCCUCUUGCCCUAAAACUGCAUUUUAUUGAUCUGACUGAUAUUUGGGUAGUGUACUGGCUGGUUUUGUGUGUCAACUUGACAUAAGCUGGAGUUACCCCAGAGAAAGGAGCCUCCCUUGAAGAAAUGCCUCCAUGAGACCCAGCUGUAAGGAACUUUCUACACUAGUGAUCAAGGGGGGAGGACCUGGCCCAUUGUGGGUCGUGCUGUCCCUGGGCUGGUGGUCCUGGGUUCUAUAAGAGAGCAAACUGAGCAAGCCAGGGGAAGCAAGCCAGUAAGUAACAUCCCUCCAUGGCCUCUGCAUCAGCUCCUGCUUCCUGACCUGCUUGAGUUCCAGUCCUGACUUCCUUUGGUGAUGAACAGCAAUGUGGAAGUGUAAGCUGAAUAAACCCUUUCCUCCCCAACUUGCUUCUUGGUCCUGAUGUUUGUGCAGCACUAGAAACCCUGACUAAGACAGGUAGCUUCUGCCUUUGGAUGACAUAUACUGUGAGCCAUGGAUAAGGGUGGGGCUGAGCCCACUUUCAGCCCUUUGAGGCCAGACCUAGAGUCAGAAUUGCUGGACUGUAUAACUGUGGGUCACAGAGUGAAGGGUGUGAGACAUCUCCCAAUGGUACCCCCACCGGCC
Molecule: long non-coding RNA, 13819 nt
Organism: Rattus norvegicus (Norway rat)
Lineage: Eukaryota; Metazoa; Chordata; Mammalia; Rodentia; Muridae
Source: RefSeq, a predicted model, not a curated record